GACGAACCUGACGAACGUUAUUCGGAAUCACUGGGCUUAAAGGGUGCGUAGGCUGUGCAGCAAGUUGGGUGUGAAAUCCCUCGGCUUAACCGAGGAACUGCCCUCCAAACUGCUUGGCUUGAGUCCGGGAGAGGUGAGUGGAAUUCCCAGUGUAGCGGUGAAAUGCGUAGAUAUUGGGAGGAACACCAGUGGCGAAGGCGGCUCACUGGACCGGAACUGACGCUGAGGCGCGAAAGCGUGGGGAGCAAACGGG
Molecule: ribosomal RNA, 253 nt
Filed under: uncultured bacterium
Lineage: Bacteria
Description: partial 16S ribosomal RNA
Rfam family: Bacterial small subunit ribosomal RNA
Source: RNAcentral